This 468-nucleotide ribosomal RNA is filed under the name uncultured bacterium. RNAcentral's name for it is "partial 16S ribosomal RNA". It matches the Rfam family "Bacterial small subunit ribosomal RNA", at positions 28 to 507 of the family's 1533-position model. The record is from RNAcentral.
GACGAACGCUGGCGGCGUGCUUAACACAUGCAAGUCGAACGGAAAGGCCCUGCUUUUGUGGGGUGCUCGAGUGGCGAACGGGUGAGUAACCCGUGAGUAACCUGCCCUUGACUUUGGGAUAACCUCAGGAAACCGGGGCUAAUACCGGAUAGGUGCUUCUGCUGCAUGGUGGGGGUUGGAAAGUUUCGGCGGUUGGGGAUGGACUCGCGGCUUAUCAGCUUGUUGGUGGGGUAGUGGCUUACCAAGGCUUUGACGGGUAGCCGACCUGAGAGGGUGACCGGCCACAUUGGGACUGAGAGACGGCGCAGACUGCUACGGGAGGCAGCAGUGGGGAAUAUUGCACAGUGGGCGGGAGCCUGAUGCGGCAACGCCGCGUGCGGGAUGACGGCCUUCGGGUUGUAAACCGCUUUCGCCUGUGACGAAGCGUGAGUGACGGUAAUGGGUAAAGAAGCACCGGCUAACUACGUG